RNAcentral lists this non-coding RNA (61 nucleotides) under uncultured archaeon. RNAcentral's name for it is "crcB". It matches the Rfam family "Fluoride riboswitch aptamer (crcB RNA motif)". The record is from RNAcentral.
AUAGGAACAGGUGAUGGAGUUCGCCUUUAACCGCUGGACAGCUGAUAACUCCUACAGAUCG